UUUUUUCUUUCUGAUUCUUCCAGAAGAGGACUAAAUUGGUUGGUGGAUGAUAGUUGUCCUUUGUAGGGAGGCUGGAUGUAGAAGGUGCUGCAAGCUCUGCAAGCUGAUUAGUUAAUGUGGAAGCUGAAACCUACCUUGGGAAGCUGACCAUUGACCAUUGUCUUGCUUUUACCUGGGUUGCUUCCGUGUUUCUCUUUAGGUUUUUAACAAAGGAUUAAGGCUGAACAGAUCUCUGCAGUUACAAUUAUUCAUACUAGAAGAUCCUGCUAACCUCUUUGUUAUUUGAGCAGCUGGAUGAGAUUCCUGAUUUCCAUAAUCUGUACCUGGAGGUUUAUACAGGAGAGGAUCACUGGGGCAGACUUGAACCAUGGUGCCCACAAGUGGGGAGGGUGCUCCAGCGGCCAUGGAAAGAACUUCCUUCUGCAGUUGGAGACAGCCUUCUGUGUGGGCUGAAGGACAGAGUGUGAUUUUCCACUUGGAAGAGACUCCAGGGCUCUGCAGAGAGGGAAGCCCUGCUGACCCAUUUCAGUAGACUGUGACACUUCAGCGACCUGCAAAUUCUACACAUUAGAGUUCAUAUUUUAUACAAACUUCGUACACCUAAGAUGUGGACUUAACAUUUCUACCAACAACAUCCAACUUCCAACAAAAGAUGCAGGCCCAUCAGAAGAUGAAAGCUACUAAUGAAGAUGCAUUAAAGAUGAUAUUUAUGGCCACCCCUUAGGGAAAAAAAAGAUUCAUAAAUAAUUUCAUGGAAAUUACACCCAAAA
This 770-nucleotide long non-coding RNA is filed under the name Pan troglodytes (chimpanzee). Its description in RNAcentral is "lincRNA". The record is from RNAcentral. Lineage: Eukaryota; Metazoa; Chordata; Mammalia; Primates; Hominidae.